This 496-nucleotide ribosomal RNA is filed under the name uncultured bacterium. RNAcentral describes it as "bacterial SSU rRNA". It matches the Rfam family "Bacterial small subunit ribosomal RNA", at positions 30 to 518 of the family's 1533-position model. The record is from RNAcentral.
UGAACGCUAGCGACAGGCCUAACACAUGCAAGUCGAGGGGCAGCGACAAGGAGCAAUCUGAGGUGGCGACCGGCGCACGGUGAGUAACACGUAUGCAACCUGCCUGUAAGCGGGGAAGUAACCCGUUGAAAGAACGGACUAAUACCGCAUAAUACUAAAUUACUGCAUGGUAAUUAUUUAAACAUUUAUGGCUUACAGAUGGGCAUGCGCAUGAUUAGCUAGUUGGAGAGGUAACGGCUCCCCAAGGCAACGAUCAUUAGGGGUUCUGAGAGGAAGGUCCCCACCACUGGUACUGAGACACGGACCAGACUCCUACGGGAGGCAGCAGUGAGGAAUAUUGGUCAAUGGACGAGAGUCUGAACCAGCCAAGUCGCGUGCAGGAAGAAUGUCCUUAAUGGAUUGUAAACUGCUUUUGCAGGGGAAUAAAGUGCAUCACGUGUGAUGUUUUGUAUGUACUCUGCGAAUAAGGAUCGGCUAACUCCGUGCCAGCAGCUGC